This is a long non-coding RNA of Myotis davidii, 308 nucleotides long. RefSeq lists it as uncharacterized. The transcript has 4 exons. Lineage: Eukaryota; Metazoa; Chordata; Mammalia; Chiroptera; Vespertilionidae. The record is from RefSeq and is a predicted model, not a curated record.
UUCUCAGGAGACACGGGAUGGGUCCUGUGGCCGGCGCGUGGUCUUUUGAACCCGAGAAGCAGAUUCGCGGCUGGAGAUAACUCGGCUAGAAUCAGGACCUGAAGAAAGAGGUCUGUUACUAGUCCACGGCUGGUGUUAAGAAAGAUAGUACUAAUUUUCUGCCACGGCUCCUGCCCAGUCCGAUCUUCGAUCUUUUCCUCCAGGAAACGAAUCUGCUGCCGGAACUCGAGAGUUCAGUGACUCGGCAGGAGAAGAUGGCGACCGUGUGGGACGAGGCUGAGCAAGAAGGAAUUGGGGAAGAGGUGCUG